RNAcentral lists this long non-coding RNA (1206 nucleotides) under Nicotiana tabacum (common tobacco). RNAcentral describes it as "long non-coding RNA (NTAB_LNC014995)". Lineage: Eukaryota; Viridiplantae; Streptophyta; Magnoliopsida; Solanales; Solanaceae. The record is from RNAcentral.
AAAUCUGCUCUGCAGACGCAAAAACAUUGGAAGAUAGAACGACAAAAACAAUCACAGCAACCACAAAUGUUGUUAAAGCCUUCAACUUUGAUUCAGUUUGUGCCAUCAAUUAGUAAGUUCCCAACUUUGAUUUUCCUUCUAAUAACUGGCUCCCACACUUCUUUAGAAACAUUAACUCAGUUAAACUGCAAGCAAGAAAUCAAGAUUAUUUGCUCUUAACCAACUUUAAAUAUGCAAAGAUAGCAACUUUGUGAAAAAGAAAAAUUUCAAGAUUCUUUACAUUUACCAGCUUACAUAUGAAAAGGAAGUAACUUUGCGAAGAAGAUAGAUGAAUAAGUUAAUCUCAAUUUUGGCUACUUAAAUGACUCCCUUGUUUAGCUCCUUAAUGAUUAUUUUCUCUUAUCCAUAUUUUCUGUGUCUUAAAAGGACCCUUAAUCAUUUUGAAGAGCUGUUUCUACAAAUCAAUUAAUACCAAUAAAUGCUGAGAGAAUGAGACGUGUUUUUCUGCCAAUGCCUACCUCUCUAAAGCCUAACAUAGUAACAUGGUCUUGUGGAAAUGAGUGGCACUAAGAUUAUUGCGGUUUAUUUGGAACAUAGAAUUUUAUAACAAAAGUUAAGCACCACUAAAGGAUGUGGUCCUCCCUUAUUCAAAAGAGUCUCUAGUUAAGUCGUAUGAAAAAAUCUUUAGUUCCCUUAUUCAAAAGAGUCUCGAGUUAAGUCGUAUGAAAAAAUCUUUAGUAGGGAGCGUUCCCCCUCCCGAAUAGGGUCCAGUGGUGGAUCUACAUGUUGUUUUUUUGGGUGCUCAAGCACACAUUAUCUUUGACAAGAUUUAGUAAAUUUAUAUAUGUAAUUAUAAAAAUAUUUAGAUAAAUAUUGAGUUAGCACCCAUUAUUAAACUCAUUUUUCCUUUUCUUUCAGAAUUUUUAUCAGCGAGCACCAAGGACUUUAAAAUCCUGGAUCCGCCAUUGAUAUGGCCCUAUCCGGUGCAAAUCCGGAUAUAGUCGGACUCGGCUCCAAUGCGAGUACCGAACAUGAAAAACCAAAAAAAAAGUUAAGCACUUUUCCAAUGUCAGUAUCGAAUUAGAUGCAUGGUCACUUAACUUGCUAAAAUAACACUAAUGGUGGUCCUCUUUUGCUUCUUUUAUUUUCAAUGGCUUAAUUUGUCAUCUUAUCCUUUUAAGGGGUGCAGGCACCUUGCUUGAGUAG